This 1637-nucleotide long non-coding RNA is filed under the name Erythranthe guttata (spotted monkey flower). RNAcentral describes it as "long non-coding RNA (EGUT_LNC003622)". Lineage: Eukaryota; Viridiplantae; Streptophyta; Magnoliopsida; Lamiales; Phrymaceae. The record is from RNAcentral.
GCCGUUGGAUCGUUUCAUGCAGUUGCAAAAGGGAUCCCGGUCGUCUGUGGAGCUGGAAAUGACGGCCCUUCUCCACAAACUGUAAAGAACACUGCCCCUUGGAUUAUUACUGUUGCUGCCAGCACCAUGGAUAGAGCUUUCUCAACUCAAAUCACACUUGGCAACAACAAGACUCUUCAGGUCCGCAACUUUUUUUAUUUUUUUUUAUUUAUAAUUAAAAAUUUAUAUUACUAACUUUCCGAAGGAAAAAAAAAAAUGGAUCUUGCAGGGUCAGUCUAUCUACACAGGGUCCGGAACGGGAGGCGGAUUCACGGGCUUGUAUUACCCUGCGGAUGGAGGCGCCAAUACUUCAUCAACUGGGUAGGGCUUUUUUCCAAGAGUUUCUUGGUGUUUGGGAAUUAAUUAUGUGUCUGAAAUAAACAUCCUCGUAUUUUUUUUUGCAUGUUUACAGUGUGUGCGAAGGUCUCACGCUAAAGCCUAGUCUUGUUGCUGGGAAAGUUGUUCUAUGCUUCACCACAGUAUCGAGUCCAGUUGUGACACUAAUUGCAUCGUUGUUAGUGAGAGCUGCAGGCGGAGUUGGUGUUAUUGUUUCAAAGCUUCAAAAUGAUAUAACAGGUCAAUGCCGCAACUUCCCAUGUGCAGAAGUCGAUUAUGAAAUCGGCACUCAGAUCCUAUUCUACAUCCGCUCCAACAGGUACACUUAACAUUUCACAAACUUCUUUUUGUUAGCUUCCUAUUCGAGAUCCUUUAUUUAUUCUAAAAUUAUAACCCUCUCCAAUUUAGAAAUCCAGUGGUGAAACUAAGCCCUCCAACAACUCUUAUCGGAAAAGAAUCAGUCUCUGCUAAGAUUGCUGAAUUCUCAUCACGCGGCCCCAAUACUAUUUCAGCUUCAAUACUCAAGGCAAGAAUAACAAUAGUGUUUUUUUUCGUUUCCUCAAUUUUGAGUUGCGUAUAAUAGCUUACCUCGUUAUUUACGACGAACAGCCGGAUAUAGCAGCACCAGGACUGCAAAUAAUAGCGGCAACUUCAGGCGUUGACACAUCAGCAGAAAGAGGUUUCACAAUGAUGUCAGGUACUUCAAUGGCAACUCCUCAUAUUGCUGGAAUUGUAGCCCUUCUCAGAGCACUCCAUCCUGAUUGGUCACCUGCUGGACUCAGAUCUGCACUUACCACCACAGGUAUACAAACUCUUUUUCCUGUAUAUAUAUAUAUAUAUAUAUAUAUAUAUAUAUAUAUAUAUAUAUAUUAAUAAAUAAUAAUGCACUUUUUACCACUUGAUGAAGCUUGGACGAGUGAUCCAUAUGGAACCCCGAUGUUUGCUGAGGGGGACCCACAUAAGCUUGCCGAUCCUUUCGAUUACGGGGGUGGAAUUGCGAACCCGAACGGUGCUUCAUGUCCGGGGUUGAUAUAUGACAUGGACACAACAGACUAUAUUAAUUACCUUUGUGCCAUGGAGUACAAUAGCUCUGCUAUCUCUCGACUAACAGGGCAACCUAUAAUGUGUCCUAAUAAGACAUUCCCAAUUCUAGAUGUGAAUUUACCUUCCAUAACUAUACCGUACCUUAGAAACUCAACUGUCCUAAGCAGAACCGUAACUAACGUGGGACCCACAAACUCAAUAUACCGUGUCGUAGUUGA